CAAUAGCGUAUAUUAAAGUUGUUGCAGUUAAAAAGCUCGUAGUUGGAUUUCUGGUCGGAAGCUCCUGUCCUCUGAUGAGCGUACAAGUGCGUCCUACCAUCCUUCUGUUAACCUUUAAGGCUUUCGCGGCUUUCUAGGGGCUCAGAUAUUUUACCUUGAGAAAAUUAGAGUGUUUCAGGCAGGCUAGCGCCGGAAUACAUUAGCAUGGAAUAAUGGAAUAGGACUUUUGCCUCUUCUGUUGGUCAUGAGGCUCGAGUAAUGACUAAUAGGGAUAGUUGGGGGCAUUAGUACUUAACUGUCAGAGGUGAAAUUCUCGGAUUUGUUAAAGACUAACUUAUGCGAAAGCAUUUGCCAAGGAUGUUUUCAUUAA
RNAcentral lists this ribosomal RNA (370 nucleotides) under uncultured eukaryote. RNAcentral describes it as "partial 18S ribosomal RNA". It matches the Rfam family "Eukaryotic small subunit ribosomal RNA", at positions 592 to 976 of the family's 1831-position model. The record is from RNAcentral.